GACGAACGCUGGCGGCGUGCUUAACACAUGCAAGUCGAACGGAAAGGCCCUGCUUGCAGGGUACUCGAGUUGCGAACGGGUGAGUAACACGUGGGUGAUCUGCCCUGCACUUCGGGAUAAGCCGGGGAAACUGGGUCUAAUACCGGAUAGGAGCCAUUUUUAGUGUGAUGGUUGGAAAGUUUUUUCGGUGUAUGAUGAGCUCGCGGCCUAUCAGCUUGUUGGUUGGGUAAUGGGCUACCAAGGCGGCGGCGGGUAGCCGGCCUGAGAGGGUGGACUGCCACCUUGGGACUGAGAGACGGCCCAGACACCUACGGGAGGCAGCAGUGGGGAAUAUUGCACAAUGGGCGCAAGCCUGAUGCAGCGACGCCGCGUGGGGGAUGACGGCCUUCGGGUUGUAAACUACUUUCGCUAGGGACGAAGCUUUUUGUGACGGUACCUAGAUAAGAAGCACCGGCUAACUACGUG
RNAcentral lists this ribosomal RNA (465 nucleotides) under uncultured bacterium. Its description in RNAcentral is "partial 16S ribosomal RNA". It matches the Rfam family "Bacterial small subunit ribosomal RNA", at positions 28 to 507 of the family's 1533-position model. The record is from RNAcentral.